GACGAACGCUGGCGGCGUGCUUAACACAUGCAAGUCGAACGGAAAGGCCCUGCUUUUGUGGGGUGCUCGAGUGGCGAACGGGUGAGUAACACGUGAGUAACCUGCCCUUGACUUUGGGAUAACUUCAGGAAACUGGGGCUAAUACCGGAUAGGAGCUCCUGCUGCAUGGUGGGGGUUGGAAAGUUUCGGCGGUUGGGGAUGGACUCGCGGCUCAUCAGCUUGUUGGUGGGGUAGUGGCUUACCAAGGCUUUGACGGGUAGCCGGCCUGAGAGGGUGAGCGGCCACAUUGGGACUGAGAUACGGACCAGACUCCUACGGGAGGCAGCAGUGGGGAAGAUUGCACAAUGGGCGGAAGCCUGAUGCAGCAACGCCGCGUGCGGGAUGACGGCCUUCGGGUUGUAAACCGCUUUCGCCUGUGACGAAGCGUGAGUGACGGUAAUGGGUAAAGAAGCACCGGCUAACUACGUG
RNAcentral lists this ribosomal RNA (468 nucleotides) under uncultured bacterium. RNAcentral describes it as "partial 16S ribosomal RNA". It matches the Rfam family "Bacterial small subunit ribosomal RNA", at positions 28 to 507 of the family's 1533-position model. The record is from RNAcentral.